This 4480-nucleotide long non-coding RNA is filed under the name Homo sapiens (human). RNAcentral's name for it is "long non-coding RNA NONHSAT135351.2". Lineage: Eukaryota; Metazoa; Chordata; Mammalia; Primates; Hominidae. The record is from RNAcentral.
CCGCAGUGCGUCGCGCCGCUGCCCGCAUCUCCGAGGCCCGCGACGAGCGGGGCCUCACGGGAGCUGGAUGCUCGGAGCAGCAAGGCGGCCCUGGGGGCCCCUUCCGGUCCCGGGGCUGACGCCUGGCGGCGUCUCCGGGAACCCGCGCCCUUUCAAGCGCCGCUGGCUCCUGUUUCACAGAUGGAGACCCUGAAGCCCCAACAAGCAGCCUCCCCAGCACCUCCCAGUGACUGAAAAAGCUGGCACUGGGCGCCCGUCUCACUCUCCACCCAGCUCCCAGGCUGCCCCACGGGACGUAAGUAGCUCGAUCUAGGCCGCUGACCCCCAGAGACUUGAUGCUGCGCUGCAGACUGCCGCCGCUGCCGGGGCGCUUGACUUCCCCUCUCCUGACAGCACGUUCGUUCCUUUGCAGCAGCACCUUUGGGGAGAGACGAGACCUGAACAAACGCUGGGGCUGGAUCCCCAGGGUGGGUCAGAACAGCCGUUGCCCUGAAAGCUGGCCCGGACAGAUGCGUGCGGGGCGUGCCACCGGAGCUCCUUCCAGCUUGCGUCUGGGGCCACCAUGUCCCUUCCUCAGGGCACUGGAUCCAUCUCUUCAAGCUCAGUGGUCCAGGCCAUGGUGGCAGAAUCACCCCCCAGGGUGUGACGCCUCGUCCCUGUCAAUUCCACACAGCUGCACCCGGAAGAGCUGUGGCCGGGCGCCGCUCUGACCUGUGUGCGGUCCCCUGAAUGGGUCUCAGGUGUCUUCAGAAUGGUGAGGCCGCCUCAUUUCCUCACCACACAACCCUCCUGAGGACGUUGCCUGCAAAUGGGCGGAAUUCCUAAUUUCUACCAUUCAGUUAAACGAGGGAUCCUUAAGCCCCAAAGCUGGGAAAGCUGUCCGUUAAUUUAGUGCGCGUGGGCCGUCUCAGAACAGCAGGGUUCCCAGGAGUCCAGCGGGACGGGGGAGGGGAUGAGUGGCCGUGUCCCCCUGGCAGAGAAGGCCUUGUCUGAAGGCUACGCCCGCCUCCGGUACAGGGACACCUCCUUGCUCAUCUGGCAGCAGCAACAGCAGAAGUUGGAGUCGGUGCCACCUGGGACGUACCUGAGCAGGAGCCGAAGCAUGUGGUACUCACAGUAUGGAAAUGAGGCCAUCUUGGUCCGAGACAAAAACAAGCUCGAGGUCUCUAGGGACACAGGGCAGUCCAAGUUUUGCACAAUUAUGUAAUUCCGAUGUGAGCACCUGAACCCAGGACCACACUUUGAGGAAAACAGACCUGAGUUUCAUUCAGUUGUCUUGUUGAUUUCCAAUCCUUGCUGGAAGAUUUUGAAUAAUGAACGUGAAGAUCAAACUGUGGUGUAAGAACCCAAGAAGCGCAGAAUUGGCCCCCGAACCCCUCAGCACAGCCGCGGUGUGACUGGUGCACAGGACACUUCCCCUCUAGAGUCCCCUCCGUGGUCAGCUGUUGUGACAUUUGAAUUCUCCAGGUGCUGCUAGGGACAGCAUAGGCCCGGGCACUGCUAGAUGCUUGGUUUAAACCAGGCCAAGAGUAACCCUCCCAUCCCCAUUACAAACCACCUUUUCAAGUUUUUUAGGUUUUAGUUUUUUGUUUUUAGCAUAAAUGGCGGAGUAGCAGCAGCAUCUCACCAGGAGCUUUGUCGCAUUACAUUUUGUAUUUUGCUUUUUUGAGACGGGGUCUCACUCUGUUACCCAGGCUGGAAUACAGUGGCACAAUCACAGCUCACUGUAGGCUCUAUCUCCUGGGCUCAGGUGAUCCUCCCAAACUCAGCCUCCCAGGUAGCUGUGGCUCCAGGCGAACUACUGUAUAUAGAGACAGGGUUUCCCUAUGUUGCCCAGGCUGGUCUGGUCUUAUAGUCCUGGGCUCAAGCCUCCCAGAGUGCUGGGAUUACAGGCAUGGGUCACCGCACCAAGCCCGCAUUUAUAUUUUGAGUUACCAAAAUGAUCAUCAUCUGUGAAGCAUCAUGGUAGCUUCCAAGCAUUUGCGGCCCACUGGCCAGUGCAUCCAAAACACAUUCAGGAAACCCGAGAGUUGUAAGUUGCACAUGUGUGGCCUACAGUGACUUCCAUGUAGUAACAGGGCUGAGCAAGGCAGGCUCUCCACCAGACUUAAAGCAUUCAACCACUCUGCCCCCAGGCCGACACUGACAUGUGUUCACUGUCGCUGCCACAGCUGGCCACCUGUGUUCAGUCUCCAUGAAGGAUUCACCUUCUGCUCUCACUGACAUCUCCUUGGCUACACAAAUGUGCAGGUGUCUCUUGUCAAAGCUAAUUUUUCUUUUCUAAAUAAACAUCCUUUAAUACACUCCUCCCCUUCCUCACACUUAUUUUUAUCCUUGUUCGUAAUAUCCUACUUGGCUUCCCAUUUUUUAUAGCAGUAAUAUGUAAUUGAUUGCUAAAGACUGCAAUACACAAAGGCAUAAAGCAAAGCACAAGUGCUCUCCGUGGGGAGAACCCGGCCGGCAGCUGGGGAUGCGUCCCACAGCUCCUCAGCAUGCACACACGGUCACGUGAUUCUGACGGCCUCAUCCUGCACCAUGCCUCUUGUAUCCGCCAUUUUCUUUCUUGCUCAACUGUACAGACUGGGCAUUCACUUAAUGCUUUUCUUUUUUUUUAAGAGAGUCUCACUCUGUUGCCCAGGCUGGAGUGCAAUGGCACAAUCUCAGCUCACUGCAACCUCUGCCUCCUGGGUUCAGGCGAUUCUCCUGCCUCAGCCUCCUGAGUAGCUGGAAUUACAGGUGCCUGCCACCACGCCUGGCUAAUUUUUCUAUUUUUAAUAGAGACAAGGUUUCACCAUGUUGGCCAGGCUGGUCUCGAACUGCCAAUCUCAGGUGAUCUGCCCACCUCGGCCUCCCAAAGUACUGGGAUUACAGGCGUGAGCCACCGCACCCGGCCCACUUCAUGCUUUUAACCUCUGACUCGCAGCUCUCCCGUGAGCCCACAGACGGGCACAGUGACAGCAUCCAGGUUGUCAUCUGUGCAAACAGCAUGUUCUGAAUGUGCCUGUACUCUGUUCGUGCUUCUCUUUGCAGCUGUGCAAGUUCAUUCGCAAACGUCCUAGAAGUGGAACUGCUGGGUCAAAGUGCAUUCCCCAAAUGUCCUGCCAGAGGCCUGGUCGGCAGCAGCCUCCUGCACAGCCCGAGUCCCUUCUGCGAGAGUCCUGGCUUGUUUGCAGCCUGCAGCUGGGAGAUUUGAAGUCAGACUUCCAGGAUUGCCGCAUGGAGCUGCAGAGGGAGUGAGCAUGGGGCUGGAGGACCUGCCCCGCCGGCUGACACUCCCACAGCAAGGCGGGCCCGCCAAGGAAGCACUCCACAUCCGCUAGGUAGGGUUUGUCUGCAUCUUUUCAGUUCUUCAGUUUAAGUCCUGCCUGGGAAGAAAGCAAACUCCAGAGGCAAAUCUGGAAUGCCUGUGUGCCACCUUCUCACCGCACCACAGACUCCCCUGAGGACGGGUUGUGGCGGGGUUGGCCCCAAGCAUGGGAGGCAGCGCAGACAUGCAGAAUGGGGUCUGAGGUCACGUUGCAACGCUGGCAGGAUGUGUGCUCAAGGGCCAGUCUCUGCAGGGGUCAGGGCGUGUGGGCCACGCACAAGGAGCUGGCACUAAGCCGCUUAGGCUGCAGGAAGACACCAUCUGCCUGGGGCGGACAAGGCCCCAUGUCCGUCCUCAAGGAGGCUGGUCUGGAUGAGAAGGGUCACAGUCUGGCCAGGAGUGUCACCGUGCCCCCUGACCCCAUCUGGGGUCGGGCUGGACAGGUCCUCAGGCCUAGACGUGGGCCCAGCCAGAACCUUCUCCCCUGGCAUGUCUCUUCCAGGCCUAGUUCCAGAGCUGUCAUUCUUCGGCGAGCCGCGCUGCACGCCAGCCUCCAGUCUGGCAGUUAAACCUCACUAUGAAAAUCUGCUUUUGGGAUUUUAUUUGCAUUUCCAUUAGACUGAGCGCAUCACAAGCCACUUCAGGAUAGACUGAGGUGCAGAGGGAGGGGACAAGCGGCCAGGUUGACUAGAAGAGCACAGAACCUGGCUGUCUCGAAGAGGGCAGCUUGUUCCAGGGAACCAAUGAACUGUCAGUAAAGGGGAUUGUGGCUUCCUAGUGAGGCAAGAAAUGAUGCUCCCUUCAUCCUGCCAGGGCUCAGGACAAGAGCUACUUAAUGGUUUGAUUAUUAUUAUUUUUUAAGAGAUGUUGUCCAGGCUGGAGUGCAGUGAUGCAAUCAUGGCUUACUGCAGCCUCAAACUCCUGGCCUCAGGCCAUCCUCCUGCCUCAGCCUCCCAAAGUGCUGUGAUCACAGGCACGAGCCACUGCAUCCUGCCUUUAAAUGGUUUUUUGGGGCCCCUUUUGGAUGCUCUGGGUGUUUUUGCCAAGAGUUACAGGAUGUCAAGUGUGGGGAGCUCAGCACCCUUGCUGUGGACCAGUGAAGGCUGUUCCAGACCAGGUGCUUCCAGACAUUUCCAGGCUCCAGGAGAGAGGCUGGGAGCCCCCACAGAAAGC